RNAcentral lists this ribosomal RNA (435 nucleotides) under uncultured bacterium. RNAcentral describes it as "bacterial SSU rRNA". It matches the Rfam family "Bacterial small subunit ribosomal RNA", at positions 29 to 506 of the family's 1533-position model. The record is from RNAcentral.
AUUAACGCUGGCGGCAUGCCUUAUGCAUGCAAGUGGAUCGAGAAGCCGCAAGGCUUCGAGACGCGAACGGCUGAGUAAUGGAUAGGAAUCUCCCCAAUGGUGUGGAAUACCUCAUCGAAAGAUGAGCUAAUACCACAUGACCUCGAAAGAGAAAAGCGCUUAACUGCGCGCCGAUGGAUGAGCCUAUCUCCCAUCAGGCUGUUGGUAGGGUAAUGGCCUACCAAACCUAUGACGGGUACCCGCCCUGAGAGGGGAAACGGGCAGAAUGGGACUGAGACACGGCCCAUAUGUCUACGGACAGCAGCAACAGGGAAUCGUGCGCAAUGGAAGAAAGUCUGACGCCGCAAUGCCGCGUGGAGGAUGAAGGCCCUCGGGUCGUAAACUCCUUUUGCCAUAGAGGAGAUGCUAUGGAGAAUAAGUGACUGCUAACUCUGU